RNAcentral lists this ribosomal RNA (254 nucleotides) under uncultured bacterium. RNAcentral's name for it is "partial 16S ribosomal RNA". It matches the Rfam family "Bacterial small subunit ribosomal RNA", at positions 524 to 776 of the family's 1533-position model. The record is from RNAcentral.
UACGGGGGGAGCAAGCGUUGUUCGGAUUUACUGGGCGUAAAGGGCGCGUAGGCGGCCACCGCAAGUCGACUGUGAAAUCUCCGGGCUUAACCCGGAAAGGUCAGCCGAUACUGCGGGGCUAGAGUGCAGAAGGGGCAACUGGAAUUCUCGGUGUAGCGGUGAAAUGCGUAGAUAUCUGGAGGAACACCGGUGGCGAAGGCGGCAUCCUGGACCAACAUUGACGCUGAGGAGCGAAAGCUAGGGGAGCAAACGGG